CAGCAACGCAGGAUUUGGUAGGAACCAUGUUUGAACCUUCUUCGGAAAAGCGAUAUGAUGAUUGCAGUAAAAGUCACAGCGGAGAUUAACGAAGGAAUUUAUGAACUUUAUGAAAAAGUUUGUUAUUAGGGUGUUUUAUUCCGAAGCCUCAGAAUGCCAUAACUAUUGCCAUGUCCUCCCGUGCCCUCUUCAAUAUGGACCUAGAGCAGGAGAUCUAUGAGCAGCGGGGAAUGGAGGAGUACCUGAACCACCAGAGCCAACAUGAGAUUGAGCUUUUUGCACCUGGACCUGCUUUGAAAAACCUGCUCUAGCAUUAGAAUACUGACAUAUCCAUCAUUUAUAGUCUGAAAAGAAAAAAAUAGCAGUUUUAAACUAUAUGCAAUUUCUUAAGCAUAACAUAACUCAGACAUGCCAUUUGUUUGAUCACAAAAGAAGGAAAUAUUCAUAUCUGUAAUUCAAGCUACAGUAUAAAACUAGAUACUGUAAAAAAUGUCCAUAAUUUUAAUGGUAAAAGAAUGUAAAAUGCUACAGUAAAAAAAAAAAUGUAUUGGUUAUAUAGGGUUAAAAAUGGUAAUAUAUUUAACAAGACAACACGCGAUUUUACUGUAAAAUAUUAUAAAAAUUACAUUUUUAGAUGUAAAAAGUAUGAAUCCAUAUACCAUAUAUAAUUGAUGGUAAAAAUGUAUAUUAUGUUUAACAAGAGAAAACAUGUACUUUUUAAUGAUAAACUGUUGUUAAAAUUAUGGUGAAAAACUAUAAUCGGGCAUUCAAGUGCCUUCUUGACCCAUCACAUUUCAUUAUAUUUUAUGGGAAUAGUUAUGUUUCUUCUUAUUUUUAAUAUCAGUUAUGUACACUGGGGUGUUCUGUUAUAGUUUAUGUAGUUUAGUUGAUGUUUAAUGCAUUAUUUAAGUGUCACAUUUGUUACCCUAAUGGUGUUUUGUGUAUGUGUGGGUAACACUGUGUCUCUAAAUGUGUAUUAAUUAUUGCUCCUGGAAGGGCCGCUCUUAAUGAACUUUGUCGUCAUGUGGCCUUUUGUAGUUACUACGGUGAUUAACAAUGCAUUUUAAAGUGAAAAGUAGACUUUUAUAGAUCCAGAAGAUUAGUUUAUCAAGUUUACAGUGCAGUAUAUCAUUUAAUAAUAUAAACGUCAGUGAACUGUAAAACAUGGUCACCUUAUUUUUUUUACAGUAAAUUUCUG
Molecule: RNA transcript, 1198 nt
Organism: Myxocyprinus asiaticus (Chinese sucker)
Lineage: Eukaryota; Metazoa; Chordata; Actinopteri; Cypriniformes; Catostomidae
Gene name: cytosolic 5'-nucleotidase 1A-like
Exons: 2
Source: RefSeq, a predicted model, not a curated record